RNAcentral lists this ribosomal RNA (439 nucleotides) under uncultured bacterium. RNAcentral describes it as "partial 16S ribosomal RNA". It matches the Rfam family "Bacterial small subunit ribosomal RNA", at positions 339 to 795 of the family's 1533-position model. The record is from RNAcentral.
CUACGGGGGGCUCCAGUGAGGAAUAUUGCACAAUGGGGGAAACCCUGAUGCAGCAACGCCGCGUGGAGGAUGACGCAUUUCGGUGUGUAAACUCCUUUUAUAUAGGAAGAUAAUGACGGUACUAUAUGAAUAAGCACCGGCUAACUCCGUGCCAGCAGCCGCGGUAAUACGGAGGGUGCAAGCGUUACUCGGAAUCACUGGGCGUAAAGCGCGCGCAGGCGGCCUUUUAAGUUGGAUGUGAAAGCCUAUGGCUUAACCAUAGAACUGCAUCCAAAACUAUCAGGCUAGAGUCUGGGAGGGGAAGAUGGAAUUAGUUGUGUAGGGGUAAAAUCCGUAGAGAUAACUAGGGAUACCAAAAGCGAAGGCGAUCUUCUGGAACAGUACUGACGCUGAGGCGCGAAAGCGUGGGGAGCAAACAGGAUUAGAUACCCCGGUAGUC